This 487-nucleotide ribosomal RNA is filed under the name uncultured bacterium. RNAcentral's name for it is "bacterial SSU rRNA". It matches the Rfam family "Bacterial small subunit ribosomal RNA", at positions 62 to 507 of the family's 1533-position model. The record is from RNAcentral.
UCGAGCGAACUCUGGUAACUGAAUGAAGGUGCUUGCACCUGAGUGAUGAUACAUUUGAGUGAGCGGCGGAUGGGUGAGUAACACGUGGGUAACCUGCCCUAAAGUGGGGGAUAACAUCUGGAAACAGGUGCUAAUACCGCAUAACAACACAUUCCACAUGGAGAGUGUUUGAAAGAUGGUUCUGCUAUCGCUUUAGGAUGGACCCGCGGCGUAUUAGUUAGUUGGUGAGGUAACGGCUCACCAAGACGAUGAUACGUAGCCGACCUGAGAGGGUAAUCGGCCACAUUGGGACUGAGACACGGCCCAAACUCCUACGGGAGGCAGCAGUAGGGAAUCUUCCACAGUGGACGAAAGUCUGAUGGAGCAACGCCGCGUGAGUGAAGAAGGUUUUCGGAUCGUAAAACUCUGUUGUUGAAGAAGAACAUGCGUGAUAGUAACUGAUCAUGUAUUGACGGUAUUCAACCAGAAAGCCACGGCUAACUACGUG